UUGUUUUAUUCUCGCGAUACAGGUAUAUGUAUCAGAAGCUCUUGGUCUACAGUAUACUCUACAAUAUCCAUACCAUCCCUACAGCCCCCGCUAUCCCCGCUGUCCCCAGCAUCCCACCCCCGACGACCCCGACAGCAACCCCCACCACCGCCCCACUACUAGCCGUAAUCUGCGUAUUCUGACCAACUUCCAACGAAUCCGGAAUCUGCUGAUCAUCCACAUCACUCCAAUCAAUCGAGCUUGUCGACGAGUUAUCCCCUGAAGAGGAAGAAGGGCAGUCGUUUUUCAGGUGGUUGGCGAAUGUUUCGGUUAGGGAUUGGCCGCGGAUGUUGGGGAUUGUGUAUUGCCUAUAGUAUUGGGGGAAGGAAAAGUGGGUUGGCGGUCAGCGGCCAAACCGCGUGUCCUAUUUAGCAAGGGAAGCAGCACAACGUACGCAGCUUUAAACAUCUCAUACAUACAUCCCGUACAUUCAGCCUGCGUGAAAACUGAGUCUUGCCAACGUCCUAUAACUCGACGAAUAAUUAUCCAGCACCGCAUCCAACACGCUCACCAAUGUAUUACUCGUAUCACAAACCGCUGCCAACUGACUCUUGCCAUCUUGCAAAUCACGGCCACUGCACGUUGAGGAACAUACCGUCCGUAGGUAAGUGUCGAGCUGGUCUGAGAAACCUUGCCCCCCGGAAGCGAUGGAAGAAGAAGAAGAAGAAGAAGGGUUGGAGAUGACGUUAGCGAGAGAGGUGAGGGCGAGGCAUGAACCGAGCGAAGAGGUGGUCAUGUUGACGAGGGUGAUGAGACAUGACAUGGAAGAGAUUUCGGCAGCUUGGAGGGUUUGGAGAAAGGCGACUUCGUCAGAUGUCGUUGAUGAGGAGGUGGAAGAAGAAGAAGAAGAGGAGGCGGAGGUGGUAGAGCUCGAGUCGCUGCCAAACAAACUGCCUAAAGAAGGGACGGCGAAUAAUAGGGGUACGAGGCAGUAGAUACGCAUGAUUGAAAAGAAAAAAAUAUGAGAUGGAUGAAACAGGUCGCGAAACCGCUCUCGGAGCGUUUAGCUAGAAACAGAAUAGAUCGUAUCAAGGCAGAAAAAGUUUAGGAGGAUGUGAAUGCAAAGGUCGAG
This 1111-nucleotide small RNA is filed under the name Cryptococcus neoformans H99. Its description in RNAcentral is "Cryptococcus neoformans var. grubii H99 hypothetical RNA". Lineage: Eukaryota; Fungi; Basidiomycota; Tremellomycetes; Tremellales; Cryptococcaceae. The record is from RNAcentral.